CAGAUGAUUAAAGAGGAGGCAGGCAGAGUGAAUGGAAACCGUCUGCUCCGUGUCCCCCACCCCUCUAGGGGUCUUGGAGUUCAAGGCUCUCUAUCCUCCAGCCAGCUGGUGAGCUUGUUGCUCAUUGGAGUGGCUGCUUGGGGCAAGGGCCUGGGUCUGGUGUCCAGCAUCCACAUCAUCGGCGGAGUCAUUGCUGUGGGAGUCUUCCUUCUCCUUAUUGCAGUGGCUGGACUGGUGGGUGCUGUCAACCACCACCAAGUCCUGCUGUUCUUUUACAUGAUCAUCCUUGGUUUGGUCUUCAUCUUCCAAUUUGUAAUCUCUUGCUCAUGUCUGGCUAUUAACCGAAGCAAACAGGUAAGACAGUACCCUUUCAAGUACUUACUUGCUUUUUAAAAUUUUCCUCUUAACCUCGAACUCCUUCCUUAGUCUGGCCCCAACUACCCAAAGAUCAUCCUUAGGUGCACUGCUUCUGGCCUCUUGGGCUAUUUGCUUCCUCUGGGAUGUCUGGUUAAUUUUCCAUGAGGAUGAUCUAGA
This 534-nucleotide small RNA is filed under the name Pan troglodytes (chimpanzee). RNAcentral describes it as "processed transcript". Lineage: Eukaryota; Metazoa; Chordata; Mammalia; Primates; Hominidae. The record is from RNAcentral.